UACGUAGGGGGCAAGCGUUGCUCGGAAUCACUGGGCGUAAAGCGCACGUAGGCGGAUUGCUAAGUCAGGGGUGAAAUCCUGGAGCUCAACUCCAGAACUGCCUUUGAUACUGGCGAUCUCGAGUCCGGGAGAGGUGAGUGGAACUGCGAGUGUAGAGGUGAAAUUCGUAGAUAUUCGCAAGAACACCAGUGGCGAAGGCGGCUCACUGGCCCGGUACUGACGCUGAGGUGCGAAAGCGUGGGGAGCAAACAGG
Molecule: ribosomal RNA, 253 nt
Filed under: uncultured bacterium
Lineage: Bacteria
Description: partial 16S ribosomal RNA
Rfam family: Bacterial small subunit ribosomal RNA
Source: RNAcentral